This 207-nucleotide ribosomal RNA is filed under the name uncultured bacterium. Its description in RNAcentral is "partial 16S ribosomal RNA". It matches the Rfam family "Bacterial small subunit ribosomal RNA", at positions 568 to 774 of the family's 1533-position model. The record is from RNAcentral.
CGCGUAGGCGGUUAAACAAGUCAGAUGUGAAAGCCCCGGGCUCAACCUGGGAACUGCAUUUGAAACUGUUUAGCUAGAGUGUGGUAGAGGAGAGUGGAAUUUCAGGUGUAGCGGUGAAAUGCGUAGAUAUCUGAAGGAACACCAGUGGCGAAGGCGGCUCUCUGGACCAACACUGACGCUGAGGUGCGAAAGCGUGGGUAGCAAACG